RNAcentral lists this unclassified non-coding RNA (213 nucleotides) under plant metagenome. RNAcentral describes it as "partial contains small subunit ribosomal RNA, internal transcribed spacer 1, and 5.8S ribosomal RNA". The record is from RNAcentral.
UUUCCGUAGGUGAACCUGCGGGAGGAUCAUUCAUAAUAAGUGUUUUAUGGCACUUUUUUAAAUCCAUAUCCACCUUGUGUGCAAUGUCAGGGUUGAUUUUUCUCUCGAGAGGAUCGGCCCCAAACAUCAACUAUAUCUCAACUCUUUGUCUGAAAAAUAUUAUGAAUAAAACAAUUCAAAAUACAACUUUCAACAACGGAUCUCUUGGCUCUC